Molecule: microRNA, 23 nt
Filed under: Rattus norvegicus (Norway rat)
Lineage: Eukaryota; Metazoa; Chordata; Mammalia; Rodentia; Muridae
Description: rno-miR-702-3p
Gene: rno-miR-702-3p
Source: miRBase by way of RNAcentral
UGCCCACCCUUUACCCCACUCCA